UCGGACAACACACAGCCAGGCAGUGAACGCCGCUUAGAAACAGGACCCAUGACAGCAACCUUCCCUGCUUCUCAGGAGCCAGUGCGUGUCCACACCAGUCCAGGCCUUUUCUUCUUCUACUGAGUCCUGCUUCCCAUCUCAGCUGAUAGCACCACCGCUUGUGGAAAAAUUAAUUUGACAGUGGUGUGCCCAAUUGGAUGCAAGGAAGGAGCAGGGUUUUCUGACCUGGUGACUGUGGAUACGCCUCAGGAGUCUGAAGACCCUGAAACUGCCAUCAUUGUGUGGGUUCGUUUGCUUUUCUGAGGAGGGAUUCCAUAGCUUUCAUCCGACACUCCACAGGUUGAGAGCUCUUGGAUUCAACUGGUGCCCAAACAAGACAGGACCACCAGUGCAUAUUUGAACAGGACAAUCCUUCUGCCCAUCCAUCUGAUCCCUGCUUCCACUUCCCACAAGCAAACAUCCAGUCCACAAAACUCAUUGAGCAGCUACAGUGAGCUGUGUGCCAAGCAUGUGCCAGGGACUGGGGCUGCAAAGAGAGAUGGAGGCCACAGGGAAGAGGCCACGAGAUAGUCAGUUGUCUCAUGAAGUAGAAUACAGGUGAAGCCAGAGAAUCACAAGCCAUGAAAACCUUCUGGAGGUGACAUCUGAGCUUUGUCUUGCCAGUUGAUCUUGCUAGAAUACAUAUGAAGUAAAGAGGGGCCUGGAAUUGCUGGUGGCUGAGGAAAUGGGAGAGGAAAAAGCAUGCCGGACUGUCACGGUGCAGGAAGCCCUCAUCACUACUAAGACUUAGUGACUAAUCCCAUACAGGGGAAGGAAGCUUGGGUGGCUGUGAGUCAAGGAUCCAAGCCUGGAAGACUGCAAACAAUACUGACUGGGGUUGGCAGACAGAAAGGCGACGACUUUUUCAGUGGGAAGACAAUGAGUUUUGGUUUCAGACAUCUUGAUUUGGAGGCAAUGAGAGGAUACCCGAAGACUAUUCAGAACGUCUUGAGAGGAACUGGGAAUACAGGACUGCUGCUGGGGACGUGUCAGGGAAAGAGAAAGGAGAAAUUUGGACACGUGGACACACACGGAGAACGUGUGAAGAUGAAGGCAGAGGUGGCAAACACAAAGAUGGCCAGCAAACCACCAGAAGCCCUCAGAGGCCCCAACUCCGCCAGCACCUUGCUCGCAAACUGCUGGCCUCCGGAACUGUGAAAGAAUAAAGUUUCUGCGAUCUUAGGCCCCCUGGUUUGUGGUUCUUUACAGCUCUGACAAACACACACAGACGCCUAUGAAAGGGUGAUGGCCUCAGAGGGCUAGGGGCUGGGGAAGCCGGCCGGUUUGAAGAGGAGAGCUUGUGCGGGGUGGGACCUGCUGAGGAGGUGUCCAGCUCGGAAUGUGGGAGUGGUCAGGAACCCUUGAUUGGAGCCAAGGAGCCUCCUGGCACAAAGCAAAACUUCAUGAUGAUCAACCACACCUCACAUUUGCUUCAUUCAGUCUAUGGACCAGGAAGGAUUUUCUGUGACACAUUCAGGUUCUUACUCAUCUACAGAGUCACAGAUCUGUCAGCCUGGGAACCGGCCCCCAAAUGGAAGACCCAGGCAGUUCUGACGGGUCCAUCUGCAAGGGGAGUCACAGAAGUGUGUGACGAGGAGAGGAAGAGAUACAACAGAUGCCUCAUAAGAAGCAGACGGAGGACUGCAGGGACUGCCUGGCCCAGUCCCUCACUAGGCGUAAGAAACAAACUCACCCGUCCAAACCCAAAGAAUGGACUCAGAGACCCGGAGAACAGCGAAAGCGAGAUUUUUAAUAAAAAGUCGGUCUUGCAGAAUCGGGUGUCCGAUGGACAGGCACACCCAGCAGUUUCAACAAGCAAUUUGUCCGCUAGUGCACAGGUUCCUCCCCCAGUUUCUCACAGGCUGAGUAAUACGGGGUCACAACCUUCCUGGACGUCACCUAUUGAUUGUUAGGCAGGGGCUUUAGGUGUUUUGUUUGUUUGUUUGUUUGUUUUUAGGGUUGUCUUCCUGCGUUUUGUCACGGCCCACAAUGCAUUGCAACCCUAGUCAGCUCAGGGGCUCUUCGAGUAUUUAACUUACACCCUAAGUAGCUGGGCUGGCUGAUAAGACCAGACAAAGGGAGCUAUUUUGCAGGCUAGUAGUAAGCUUUCAUUUUAGACUAAACUUCUUUGGUUCUGGUGAAGGCAACUAAUGGGGGGUAAGCAGGGAAAGGGGAGGCCCACAAGCAGGCAUCAGCUAUCCAAGCAGGGGCCUCGAAUACCCUGUUUGUUCUGUAGUUUGCUGACCUGAGCCAGUUUGAGGCACUUUGUCUUGGAAAUGGACCACUGCAUACAUUAUGUCCUUCACUGGUGAAAAUGAGAGGGGCCGUGACUGACUCAGUCCCAUAGUCACAGGCACCAGAACAGUCCCCAGCCUGCCCCUUGACUCAGAGCCCCCAUCUCCGAACUGUGCCCUCAGAUUUGGGAGCACUAACGCGAUAACUUUGACUUCUUUUGUGCUGUAGUGACCAGCCUUCUGAAAGUGCCCAGAAAUUCUCUCUGAAGUGUGUUUGAGGCCAUGGGACAGAGGGAGGUGGCCUUUUCAGCAGCACUGGGCAGGCAGAAUUGGCAAGAGUAAUUGGAAAGCUGAGGUACCUCAGCAGCAAGAGGUCCGGGACCACAGAAGCAGGUCAAGAAGCUGUUUUUGGGGGCCAUUAUGACCUUUGGGUGUGGACUUCGGUUUCAGGCCCACACAGUGCCCAUUAGUGAGCUGUGCUGCAGCCCUAGCCCUGCCACUUGUGAGUGAGCUGAUCUCAGCGGGGUGGCAUGCUCCCUGCUCCGUGCUCCCUGCUUUGCAACACCACAGCCUGGGUGGUUAAUAUCCCGGAUGACAGUUGCUUGUUUUUAUUCCAACACGACCAGUUAGAAGCAGGGCAACCGUGGACAAGGUGGUGAACACCUUUAUACUUCUGUGUUUUCAGUUGAAAAAUGGAGACGUGAAGUUCCCUAGUCACAGAGCAGCUGUGAUGGGACCCACGUAAACAGCCCUGAUCAGGAGUGAAGAGCAACAUGUGGCACACAGGGCCUCCUCCACAAGCAACAGUCGCUGCUUGCUGUUACUGUGGGCUCCACGUUGGGAUCAGACACACCUGUCUUCAGUGGCGUGCAGUUGCAGCAAGGACCAAAUGUGAGUGAGAGCACUUUGUGCCUGGAAAUGGACAGAAGAACAUUGAAAUAUGAUGACCUGAAAAUCAUGCAGAAGACAGGCGUGGCCUGUGGGUGCUUGAUGCGUGGUGGUGGCUUUAAUUGUUACCGAAUAACAGGGAGGUAUGAUCGCAAAUGUCACUGUUGCCUUCAAACUCUACGUUUUGGUUUGAAUUCCUUCUGAAACUUGCUCCUUGCACAUCUCUGCUCCUGUAGUCCAUCCACAAAGGGCCAUCUGAGGAAACUUGCUGUGCACCAGGCUCCCCCACGGUGCCAGGAGCACAGCAGUGCACAAGACAGACAUGAGUCGGCUGGAAAAGAAACAUUAGGCAAAUACAGUCAUCCCUGGGAAUCUGCAGGAAAUUGCUUCCAGGGCCAUGGGUAAGACAUGAAAAUCUGCACAUACUCAAGUCCCACAGCGAGUCCUGGGGACCCAAGGUUAUGAAAAGCCAGGCUUCCGUACGGGCAGAUUUAAGUCCUGAGAAUACUGUAUUUUCUAUCUGUGUUUGGUUGUGGAUACAAAACCCACGGACUGUAUUUUUUGAAAAAAAAAAAAAAAAAAAAAAAAAUCCAUCUCUAAGUGGACCCUCGCAGUUCAAACCUGUGUUUAAGAGUCAACUGUAAUUUCAAAUUGGUAUCGCAACAGUCUUAUUAAGACUGUCUCAUGGGAUUUGAUUUUAUCCUUCUUAGAAGGUAUUCAGUCAACCUGUUACUGUUUUCUGGAUGUUGGCAGAAGCCAGGAGACUGCUGGGUUGGGGACCAUGGACACCGUUACUUGCUACACAACUAGCAGCACGUCCAGCAGCACGUCUAGGGUCUAUUCUAAAAGAAAACAUUACGGGCAGGCAGUAGCAGACCACUGUGCUUGCAACCGUCAUGAGAUGGCUCAGGAGACACAGGAGCUGCCCUGGGUGUGAAUUUCGUAGCCAUGCUGGCUCCUCGCAGUGGCCCUUGGCAUCGGUUGGGAUCUUGCAGCAAGAUUCUUCAUCGGUUUCUCCAUCUCUGAAGACUUCUUGCCAACAGCUGUACACGUGGAUAUGUUCUUUUCUCUUAUGCAGCUGUCUGUUUUACAUGAGUAGAAUGGAUGUGUGCUUCAGUGUCCCAGGAGAAAACACAUGCUGUGCCCAAACAAGACAGGAGCGGGCUUAGAAAGGGCCCUGUUUACUUGAGGUGUGGCAGGGGGUGUAGCACCACAAAGGAAAGGGAAGGUGACUCCUACCCAUGUGACAGGGAAGCUUGUACCACUCUUACCUACACGGAGAGCCCAGUACGAGAGGAGAGGUGGGUAGAAAGGUCUGCAUGGAGAGAGCUGGGGCAUCUGGGCCCAGGUAGCUCCAGGACAACUGUGCCAGCAGCUGCUCUACAGUCUCCUCCAGGAUCCCCAUCUACUGAGCCCACCUGGCAGCUGGAGGGUGGAGCCCUAGUGUCCAACCAGGUGCGUCUCCCAGAGUGCUCGGCAGGGCAGAGGAGCAUGGGUAGCAGUCUGGAAGAGCAAGAGAAAUUGGGCACAAAAUUCCUAAGGAGAUAGUAAGUUUGCCAAAGGGCACAGACACGUCCUAAAUUCAUAGCUUGCUAGAGUUAAGAGCAUCAACAACAACAACAACAAAAAUGCUCCUUGCCUGUAAAUGGGAUAAUCAUAGAAUGACUAAAUGAGAUCAACUCACUCCAGGACCCUGAAAACAGAAAAGAGCACUAGAAGAGGUUGAACUUCGUGGGUGGGUGGCAGACGGUGCAUGGGCUACAUGAGGUACUUUCCCCAGUGGUACUGUCCCUCAUUCACCUUGCCUGAUGGCCUAGACUCAAUGUUAGCAGCUGCCAUGCUGUCCCACCUGGGGAAGGCCACAGUGGUUUGUGAAGCAGCCUGCUGUGCUCUACUUAAUCCUCCCAUGACCUUUACCUGUUCCUCUUAUCUUGCAGUUUUUGGAAGCAUCUUUUUCUCUGGGGCUUUGUGAUGGCCAAUAAGGAGGCCUGAGUCUCCCCAGAAGUUUCCCAGCACCUACUUGCCCAGCCCGCACUCCAGCUAUGGGUCAACUGGGAAGGAAAAAAACAAGACAAAGGACUCCCUUCUGCUCCCACUCCCAGAGAAUGAAUCCCCCAGCUGCCUGUCUGCUCCUCUUUAACUGAGUCUUCAGAUGAUGUGAAGCGGUGGGGUCUUCAGAUCAGCCUGCCCUGGGAGCAGAAAGUUGAUUUGCAGAAGGAGGCCUCGUGUUUGAGGAGCAGGGGAACAUUUCCUCCUUCAUGGAUAGGUUCCUUCUGUCUCAGGCCUGAGCCACAUCUGAACUCAGACGCAGGAGAAUGGGCAAGGGAGAAAUAGGUAUGGCUCCAGGUGGGAGGAGGGCCUGGGAUCAAGGGAUCAAAGCCCCCACUUAGCAUCACAGUUUGCCUGUGCACAUUUCUGUGAAUUAGGCAAGCAAGAGAUACAUUAUUAUUGCAUUCCCUAAACUCCAUUUCAAUCGUACCCAAUUUCAAAAGGUGACUAACAGGUGAGGUGGGAUGGCAGAAAGAUCCCUGAGUCACAAGCACCUGGAAUCUCCAGGCUGGCGCUUUCUGAAUCAUUUAGUUGGAGGAGAUCUUAGAAAACCUUGCCUCACCCUUCCUAGAAGGCCAUCAUCACUUCCAGUGAAGCAAACCUGUUGCCUUCCAAAGCAUCAACAUCUGUUAUUGGUAGAAAACGCCACCUGAAAUUUAGCUGAAACAGUCGAAUGCAGUGCUCAAUUCCAAAUGAACUUCUCUACCUCAUGAAGUAGAAUAAGAAAACUGUAAGCCACAGACAUCUUGAAUUUAGUCUUUGUCAAAAUUAAGGUGAGGCUUGAUCCCUCGAACUUCAGUAGCAGGAGACUUAGAGGACCCAGUUGCUGCUGACAUUGUUAAGCACUGAAUUGAUAUUAGCAUUUGCUUAGAAAGACAAGAGAAUAUCCACAUAUCCAAUACAUUUUAAGUAAAAAUCUAUACUUCUUUUGUAUGUUGUCAUUUAAAAUAAUGAGUUUAUCAGCUUAAUUAGAUAGAGCAAAAGUCUUUAUAUAAUUUGGAAAGUUUGGGUUAAUUGUCCCACCUUGAGAACGUGGAUGUUUAUCGUAGGAAAUACUUGUCCGAGUGUUCGUUGUAGAAAUCCACGAUGCUCACUUCAAGCUGUAAUCUGUGUUUGCCACAGAGGUUUGUUCUAAUUCCCCAACCUUGCCACGACUGACCUGGGUCAUCACCAUGUGCUUAUUGAAGACCCUUGGAAAACUGUAUAGACCCGUAGAGAGUUGUUCACAUAGGUGAGGACUUUCCUCCUGGUGAAUUUUUUUUUUUUUUUUUUUUUUUUUGAGAUGGAGUUUCACUCUUGUUGCCCAGGCUGGAGUGCAAUGGUGCGAUCUUGGCUCACUGCAACUUCCGCCUCCCAGGUUCAAGCGAUUCUCCUGCCUCAGCCUCCGGAGUAGCUAGGACUACAGGCACCUGCCUCCACGCCCGGCUAAUUUUGUAUUUUUAGUAGAGAUGGAGUUUUCUCCAUGUUGGUCAGGCUGGUAUUGAACUCCCGACCUCAGGUGAUCUGCCUGCCUCAGCCUCACAAAGUUCUGGGAUUACAGGUGUGAGCCACCCACUGCACCAGGCCGAAAAUAUUUUAUAAUAAAGUGACUGUUGUAGAUUAACUUUAUAAUACAAUGCGAAUUCUCAAUUCUUAUAACAAAGACUAAUGUAUAUAAAUUUCAGUAUGUUUUAAAAUUAGCCAGUACUUAGUAGAAAGCCCAUAUAGUUUACUGUAGCACUUCUGCACUUAUAGUUUAGGUCUGUCUAGAUGUAUGACUUCUCAGAGGCUGCCGAAUAUUGACCUUUUGCAUGGUAAAUAUUCAGUCUUUGAAAAUUUAUUUCAUAAUAUGCUGGAACCACGAUAUUGUAUCUGAUCAGCACGUGGUCUGGUAUCUGGGGUUCAUAAUUUUCUUUUUCCCCUUCACACUUCAGACAAUUAAUGAUGACUAUAAUAGUUUCUCAUUAGAAAUACAUGCUAAUAAAUAUCAUGUCUUUGGUAUUAAGUGGCAAUUAGAUGAAACAACCUGAAAUUCUGCUUUCUGAUACCAAGAUUGAACUUUGCUGAGAUUACUGUUUCACUCACCGAAAAUAUCAGAAUACUCAGGGGAGUUAUUUUUUUUCUUAAUGUAACUUUCAUAACAGAAAUGAAAGAAAUGUGGAAACUGAAACAGUUGUCUGGUGUCUCAAUACUGCAUGCAGGUUCGACUACAUUCUAAGCAAGUUGACUGUGUUAUGAUACAUUUCACAUUUUCUGCGAUAUUGUUUGUUCUGAGACCUUAUGCAAUUACACAGCAGAUUUUUUACACUGACCUAGACUGAGAAAAGAAAACCACCGUUCCCCUUUCUCCUUUUAAACAGGAGAGUGCCUCAAGUACACUCGGGAUCCCUCUCACCAAGCACAGCAAGGCUUG
Long non-coding RNA from Symphalangus syndactylus (siamang), 7602 nucleotides. RefSeq lists it as uncharacterized. The record is from RefSeq and is a predicted model, not a curated record. Lineage: Eukaryota; Metazoa; Chordata; Mammalia; Primates; Hylobatidae.